RNAcentral lists this ribosomal RNA (449 nucleotides) under uncultured bacterium. RNAcentral describes it as "partial 16S ribosomal RNA". It matches the Rfam family "Bacterial small subunit ribosomal RNA", at positions 29 to 523 of the family's 1533-position model. The record is from RNAcentral.
AACGAACGCUGGCGGCAUGCCUAACACAUGCAAGUCGAACGAGAUCUUCGGGUCUAGUGGCGCACGGGUGCGUAACGCGUGGGAAUCUGCCCUUUGGUUCGGAAUAACAGUUGGAAACGACUGCUAAUACCGGAUGAUGACGAAAGUCCAAAGAUUUAUCGCCAGAGGAUGAGCCCGCGUAGGAUUAGCGAGUUGGUGUGGUAAAGGCGCACCAAGGCGACGAUCCUUAGCUGGUCUGAGAGGAUGAUCAGCCACACUGGGACUGAGACACGGCCCAGACUCCUACGGGAGGCAGCAGUGGGGAAUAUUGGACAAUGGGCGAAAUCCUGAUCCAGCAAUGCCGCGUGAGUGAUGAAGGCCUUAGGGUCGUAAAGCUCUUUUACCCGGGAUGAUAAUGACAGUACCGGGAGAAUAAGCUCCGGCUAACUCCGUGCCAGCCGCCGCAGUAA